RNAcentral lists this ribosomal RNA (746 nucleotides) under uncultured bacterium. Its description in RNAcentral is "bacterial SSU rRNA". It matches the Rfam family "Bacterial small subunit ribosomal RNA", at positions 134 to 883 of the family's 1533-position model. The record is from RNAcentral.
UACAGAGGGAUAGCCCAGAGAAAUUUGGAUUAAUACCUCAUAGUAUACAGAGUUGGCAUCAACACUGUAUUAAAGUUCCAACGGUAAAAGAUGGGCAUGCGUCCCAUUAGCUAGAUGGUAAGGUAACGGCUUACCAUGGCUACGAUGGGUAGGGGUCCUGAGAGGGAGAUCCCCCACACUGGUACUGAGACACGGACCAGACUCCUACGGGAGGCAGCAGUGAGGAAUAUUGGUCAAUGGACGCAAGUCUGAACCAGUCAUGCCGCGUGCAGGAUGACGGUCCUAUGGAUUGUAAACUGCUUUUGUACGGGAAGAAACAACAUUACGUGUAAUGUCUUGACGGUACCGUAAGAAUAAGGAUCGGCUAACUCCGUGCCAGCAGCCGCGGUAAUACGGAGGAUCCAAGCGUUAUCCGGAAUCAUUGGGUUUAAAGGGUCCGUAGGCGGUUUGGUAAGUCAGUGGUGAAAGCCCAUCGCUCAACGGUGGAACGGCCAUUGAUACUGCCAGACUUGAAUUACUGGGAAGUAACUAGAAUAUGUAGUGUAGCGGUGAAAUGCUUAGAGAUUACAUGGAAUACCAAUUGCGAAGGCAGGUUACUACCGGUGGAUUGACGCUGAUGGACGAAAGCGUGGGUAGCGAACAGGAUUAGAUACCCUGGUAGUCCACGCCGUAAACGAUGGAUACUAGCUGUUGGGGGCAACUUCAGUGGCUAAGCGAAAGUGAUAAGUAUCCCACCUGGGGAGUAC